Molecule: transfer RNA, 76 nt
Filed under: Bacillus subtilis subsp. subtilis str. BSP1
Lineage: Bacteria; Bacillati; Bacillota; Bacilli; Caryophanales; Bacillaceae
Description: tRNA-Phe
Source: RNAcentral
UGGUAUAUGAGACAAGCAGGGCGCUCACAGCCGGAAUAUCGCAAGCUGAAGGAAAAGUACGGAUUGUUUGAGAUCA